RNAcentral lists this ribosomal RNA (272 nucleotides) under uncultured bacterium. RNAcentral describes it as "partial 16S ribosomal RNA". It matches the Rfam family "Bacterial small subunit ribosomal RNA", at positions 84 to 353 of the family's 1533-position model. The record is from RNAcentral.
UUUGAUGGCGACCGGCGCACGGGUGAGUAACACGUAUCCAACCUGCCGAUGACUCGGGGAUAGCCUUUCGAAAAGAAAGAUUAAUACCCGAUGGCAUAGUUCUUCCGCAUGGUGGAACUAUUAAAGAAUUUCGGUCAUCGAUGGGGAUGCGUUCCAUUAGGUUGUUGGCGGGGUAACGGCCCACCAAGCCUUCGAUGGAUAGGGGUUCUGAGAGGAAGGUCCCCCACAUUGGAACUGAGACACGGUCCAAACUCCUACGGGGAGGCAGCAUG